Molecule: ribosomal RNA, 754 nt
Filed under: uncultured bacterium
Lineage: Bacteria
Description: bacterial SSU rRNA
Rfam family: Bacterial small subunit ribosomal RNA
Source: RNAcentral
AGAGUUUGAUCAUGGCUCAGAUUGAACGCUGGCGGAAUGCCUUACACAUGCAAGUCGAACGGCAGCACGGACUUCAGUCUGGUGGCGAGUGGCGAACGGGUGAGUAAUAUAUCGGAACAUGCCCAGUCGUGGGGGAUAACUAUCCGAAAGGAUAGCUAAUACCGCAUACGAUCUGUGGAUGAAAGCGGGGGAUCUUCAGACCUUGCGCGAUUGGAAUGGCCGAUAUCUGAUUAGCUAGUUGGUGGGGUAAAAGCCUACCAAGGCGACAAUUGAAGCUGGUCUGAGAGGAGACCCAGCCACACUGGAACUGAAACACGGUCCGAACUCCUACGGGAGGCGCAUGGGGGAAUUUUGAACAAGGGGGGCAACCCUAAUCCACCAUUGCCCCUUGAGUAAAAAAGGCCUUCGGGUUGUAAAUGUCUUUUGUCAGGGAAAAAACGGAUUUCUCUAUUAUAGGAUUCUAAUGAUGGUACCUGAUAAAUAACCCCCGGCUAACUACUUGCCAGCACCCGCGGUAAUACUUAGGGGGCAAGCGUUUAAUCGGAAUUACUGGGCGUAAAGCGGGCGCAGGCGGUUUUGUAAAUCUGAUGUAAAAUCCCCGGGCUCAACCUGGAAAUUGCUUUGGGAACUGCAAGGCUAAAUUGUGUCAAAGGGGAUUAAAAUUCCACGUGUACAAGUAAAAUGCGUGAAGAUGUGGAGGACUACCGAUGGCAAAGGCAUCCCCCUAGGAUAACACUGAGGCUCAUGCCCGAAA